Molecule: transfer RNA, 67 nt
Filed under: Histeridae sp. BMNH 1274741
Lineage: Eukaryota; Metazoa; Arthropoda; Insecta; Coleoptera; Histeridae
Description: tRNA-Arg
Source: RNAcentral
AAGUAAGAAGCAAAAUCUGCAUUUAAUUUCGACCUAAAGGACGGUGGCCCCCCCCCACCCUUACUUA